Molecule: long non-coding RNA, 3806 nt
Organism: Passer domesticus (house sparrow)
Lineage: Eukaryota; Metazoa; Chordata; Aves; Passeriformes; Passeridae
Exons: 3
Source: RefSeq, a predicted model, not a curated record
UCUAUCUAUCUAUCUGUCUAUCUAUCUAUCUAUAUCUUUAUCUCUAUCUCAUCUAUAUCUAUAUAUAUAGAUGGUAAAUCCCACACCGGUUCUAAAAAAAAAAAAAAAAGGCAGCAGCCAGGACAGAAAAUCUCAUCAAUUUUUCAUUCAUGUCUAUUUUUUCAUGUUCCUACAGACAAAAAAAAGUCAUGUUCCAUGGCAGGAACUUCUGCAAAAUGGAAGAGAUUGCAGGAUGCCACCCUAAAGUUGAGGCUUGUGAAUGGUCCCAAUCAUUGGUCAUUUUACAUGGGUGCCAUCAUGCUGACCUUGGUCCUGUGGCUGCAGGUAGGGCUGCUGCUUGGGACAACAAAGGACUGUCUAUGGCUUGGGGGAUCAGUGUGGUUCUUUCUCCCUUCAGUGUAAAUUAGGGAUGUGUCCAUGGCCAGUGAGGAGGUGAAGGAGGCUGGAGGAAGGAGGGAGGAAUGGGAGGGAGCAGAGCAGAGUAUGGAGGAAGACAGGGGGUAAGACACACAGGAGGGAAGAAACUAAGAAGGAAACUAAUCAAGUGAGUAAUUGAAAAUUACUGUAAUUUUCUUUUGAAGAGAAUAAAAGUAAACUCACCCUCUGUGCAAUUAGCAAGGAAACACGUUAACAGUUAUCACAGCUGUGUGGGAAAGGGAGGUGAAAUAGAAAGGUAAAGAGAAUAGUGAUGAAAUUUGGUAAUUUUUUUCACCAUCCUAGCUUCCCCUAGACUAGAAGGUGAUAUUUCUGUCUCGUGAUUGUCAGGUUUGAGUCAUGAUCUGAACUGAAGAGCUGGCAACACAGCAAUUCCUAGUUAGGGCUAGAAAGACACAUUUUUUUCCUUUAGUUUGAGGAGAUAAAGAUCGAGAAGACACAUGGGACAUGUCCCCAGAAGCCUAAGUAAUCUUGUGGAAAUGUUUAGCAGCUUUGUCUAAAUUUCUCCUGCAAAAUUGAAAUUUGAACAUCCCGUCUCACACAAAAGUAAAGCAAUAAAUCCAGGUUUUCUUGCUGUGUUUUAACUAGGUUUCUGUAUGCCAGGUGAGAGACACAGAAGGGAAUGAGCUCAGAGGAGCUCUCUGACAUGUUCCCAGCAAAUCUCAGUCUCUGGAUCCCAAAACCUGAAAGCUCAUCACCCGUUUUACAGUUUAGAACUGACGUCCAAGCUUCAAUCCAAGAACAUGUAUUUGGCACCAGCCCUGGACAGCUCUCCUCCACGUGUUGUGAGCUUUUUGUGUAUCCCUUCUGGGGAGUCCUCCCACAGUAUGGAAGCCAGACACCUGUUCCUUUGUGCUUCAGCCUGGAGGCCAGGCUGUGUUCCCUCACCUGGAGGGACAAAGUCCUUCAGCAGCUCAGGUGUGUCUUUCCUGCCUGGAUAUUUUGUACUCAGGUGCUGGCCAUUAGGAAAUCUUUCUGUGAUGCAAAUUUUGUCUUUGGGAUUUUUGAUGUUCAGAAUGAAGCAAGCCAUGGCUAAGAGGUAUGGAAUUGUUGCUGAAUUUAUUCUUAGUAUCUAGUCUAAACCUACUCUUUUUUAGUUUAAAUUAAUUAAGAUGCCCCUGUAGCACAUGCUGCUCUGCCUGCCAAGGAUGGAGAAAAAGUAAGUUCAUGACUCACCUUACCAGGAAGGCCUGCUCCAUCGCAGGCAAUUGACAGAAGAUUUAUACCUCAUAAAUAUGUUUUUUUUCUCCACUCUGUUUUACAAAAUACCACUUGGUUGUGUACAACUGCAUGGAUUUUCAGGUUGGGCUUGUGGAGAGGCUAAAAGAAGAGCUCACUAGAUUCCUGCUGGUGCAUGUUUUGCUGGCCCUCCCUAUAUCACAGGGUUUUUAUGGUAUUUGGGAAAAAAAUACAUCUGUGUAUCUAGUUGUCAUCAUGUCAUUCACUCACUUGCUCUGGAGCUGUUCUCAUUCAUGCCAAACUUUCUUUAGUGAAGCUGUCUGCAAGUUCUUUGUCCUUGGUCUCUUGCUCACUGCUGUGUCUGUGACAGGAAGGGCUGUCCCUCAGCUUGGCUUCUCCAGCUUGGGCAGCCACCCUUGACCUGCAGUGAGCCUUCAUGGGAUGGUUCCUCUAAUUUAAAAUAAAAUAAAAAUAUGCGAGUUCACAAUGCUUCCACCUCAUCAGCAUGAAGCAUCAACUAUGGCAACAGUGCUGCAUUACUAAUGAACUUUGGGGAAGAUGUUUUUGGUUUUUUUUAAGCUAUUCACUUUGAAAGACACUGUGGCUCUUUGAAAGCUGCUGACAUUUUGAAAUGUUAACGAUGGUCACAAUGGAAGAUAGAUUAGCAAGCGAAGACAAAUAUGCCCAGAGGGCCAGUAAACUAUAUUUAUUACAUAGUUCUAGUUACAACUUUUUACCUGUUAGCUUGUUUUAGGAUAUUACAGAUAACUUCCUAUAUUCUUCCACUUUUUGUUCUUUUGGGCUUCUCAGGCAACAGAAAGUGCAUGCCCACUGUAUGCAGACAAACUGAUUGAGGCUGUGUUGUAUUUCUGUUUUAAAGCUGUGUUUUCUUCUGCCCAAAAUGUGGGUGUUUUAUUUUGUUGCACCUGAGCAGUAAAGUAACCUCCCCCAGGAGUGCAAACCUGCCUUUCUAGAAAAGUUGAUUUUUCUUUACCAGGGUGUUGAAAUCAAACUGGGAAAUGUUCCUGGAAAGGUUAUGGUUCCAUGGCUUUCAGAAAUGUAUGAAUGUAAUAACUCAAUUAAGGGCUUGAGAAGAGACCACAUCUUACAAGAUGUAGAAAACUUCACUGUCACUAGACAGUACCCUCAACUGGUGAUAGUUUACUUAUAAGUCUGUUUCCUCAGAAUACCUUCUCCAGGAAUGUAACUGGUUACUCUGCAUUGCUCUCAGCAAGACAGAUGCCCAUCUGAGAGAUGAAUCAUCUCAUUUUGCUUUCAGGAUUUUGAUUUAUGCACCAUUGGAGAUACUGUGGAGAAUGGCAACAGCUUUACUCCUAGGGAGCAGACUGAAUUGUGUACCACCCCUCUUUUAUUUUGUUAAAAACAAAAUCCUCAUCUGAUUUUUAGAUUAAUAUAAGAAUUAUUCUGCUUUUUUUCUUCUGUGAAUGCAAAUGUCUUCCUUGUCAGUUCUCUGUUUUGCUCUCCAUGGUGUAUUUCACCGGCCUGACCUGUGCUUUGCUGCUCCUGGGCUAAGCAGAGAUGCAGUUCAAAGUCUGGUGAAGAGCUCUUUCCACUCAUGCUUGUCAAAUUGAAAUUCAUUUUUGGAAUGCUGAACUCAAGAACUUUGGCAUUUUCUUUCUUGGUUUUUUUUUGCUAGUUCAAAAUGAGUCAUCUCCUGCCAUUUAACGAUCACAAAGAAUUAAGGCAGUUGUCUUUUAGGGAGCUUCAGUACAGUAUGAAAAAUGCAGAGAACAGAAGGGCGGCUCUCCUCACCCUCAAACUGCAGUACUGUGCUUGGACAACUGGCUUUUCCCUGAGUCUGGUCACUGGGGCACCAGCUGUUAUUUCAGAAAGUACAUGGAAGUGUCUAAGAAAAGCAAUUUUCCUGUCAGCGAGCUUUGUGUCCUACAGGAAUCUGGAGCCUGUGGAAAAUUUUUAGGGACCAGCAGAUAGGAAAACAUUGGACUCAGAGGAACUCUUUGGAAGAAGGAGCAUUACCACGUGCCUUCCUGUGCACAUAUGUGGCUGAUCUCCCUCCCAGAGGCAGUGGAGGCAAAAGAGUUUCAGUGGAGAUAUCUUGCAUCAUCUUGUGGAAACCAUGAAGAAAAUGUGAUGGAGAUGAAAACACCUAUGGAAGUAUCUGGAAUACCCUUUAUUUAAGAUGUCCCAUGCCCUGAGCAGGGAAUAUUUCC